This 253-nucleotide ribosomal RNA is filed under the name uncultured bacterium. RNAcentral's name for it is "partial 16S ribosomal RNA". It matches the Rfam family "Bacterial small subunit ribosomal RNA", at positions 524 to 776 of the family's 1533-position model. The record is from RNAcentral.
GACGGAGGGGGCUAGCGUUGUUCGGAAUUACUGGGCGUAAAGGGCAUGUAGGCGGUUUUGUAAGUUAGACGUGAAAGCCCUGAGCUUAACUUAGGAAUUGCGUAUAAGACUGCAAGACUAGAGUACGGGAGAGGAUAAGGGAAUUUCCAGUGUAGAGGUGAAAUUCGUAGAUAUUGGAAGGAACACCAGUUGCGAAGGCGCUUAUCUGGCCCGUUACAGACGCUAAGAUGCGAAAGCGUGGGGAGCAAACAGG